RNAcentral lists this non-coding RNA (108 nucleotides) under Corethron hystrix. The record is from RNAcentral. Lineage: Eukaryota; Bacillariophyta; Corethrophyceae; Corethrales; Corethraceae.
GAGCUCUAGAGAGUGGGGCAGGUCAGGUGCAGGACAUGUCUUCUACUUUGUUCUCAGGAUAGUGAUAGAACUCUUUUUAUUCUCACAUUGUCUUGUCUAGGUUUGCUG